This 498-nucleotide ribosomal RNA is filed under the name uncultured bacterium. RNAcentral's name for it is "partial 16S ribosomal RNA". It matches the Rfam family "Bacterial small subunit ribosomal RNA", at positions 29 to 523 of the family's 1533-position model. The record is from RNAcentral.
AUUGAACGCUGGCGGAAUGCUUUACACAUGCAAGUCGAGCGGCAGCGCGGGGCAACCUGGCGGCGAGCGGCGAACGGGUGAGUAAUGCAUCGGAAUGUACCCAGUCGUGGGGGAUAACACAGCGAAAGUUGUGCUAAUACCGCAUACGUCCUGAGGGAGAAAGCGGGGGAUCGCAAGACCUCGCGCGAUUGGAGCAGCCGAUGUCAGAUUAGCUAGUUGGUGAGGUAAAGGCUCACCAAGGCGACGAUCUGUAGCGGGGCUGAGAGGACGACCCGCCACACUGGAACUGAGACACGGUCCAGACUCCUACGGGAGGCAGCAGUGGGGAAUUUUGGACAAUGGGCGAAAGCCUGAUCCAGCCAUUUCGCGUGAGUGAAGAAGGCCUUCGGGUUGUAAAGCUCUUUCGGCAGGAACGAAACGGUCGUCUCUAACAUAGAUGGCUAAUGACGGUACCUGAAGAAGAAGCACCGGCUAACUUCGUGCCAGCCGCCGCCGUAA